RNAcentral lists this transfer-messenger RNA (401 nucleotides) under Bacteroidales. Its description in RNAcentral is "DMER64 sp002071175 Standard tmRNA". It matches the Rfam family "transfer-messenger RNA". From Rfam's summary of the family: Bacterial tmRNA, also known as 10Sa RNA or SsrA, is named for its dual tRNA and mRNA-like properties. Its role is to liberate the mRNA from a stalled ribosome. Lineage: Bacteria; Pseudomonadati; Bacteroidota; Bacteroidia. The record is from RNAcentral. RNAcentral also lists the same sequence under 2 other names.
GGGGAUGUUCUGGUUUUGACAGCAGACGACAUUGGAAAGUAAGCACGUGGAGCUUCGUGUUCUGGCUCCUAAAUAUCAGGACUCAAGCCUUAACUGGCAACAACAAUUACGCACUCGCUGCCUGAUCGGCCUUAGGCUGAUCACUUAAUCUUUCCGGGCAAGGCCCGGCAAGACGAGUAUCCCGCAGGGAUUUCCGCCUUCCGGAUCCCGGCAUAUGGGGUAUCAUCCACAGAGGGCUGGGUUGUAAAGAAUCUCCGGCUUUACAACGAGAUUUCAGGAGAUAAGGAGGAUAUGGCGUGCCUGCAGGCAGUCUCCUUCCGACAAUCAUAUGCAGGCUAAACGUGUAGAAAGCUUUUGGAUGCGCUGUUUGGACGGCGGUUCGAGUCCGCCCAUCUCCACCA